Long non-coding RNA from Chroicocephalus ridibundus (black-headed gull), 3657 nucleotides. RefSeq lists it as uncharacterized. The transcript has 3 exons. NCBI's taxonomy places the organism in Eukaryota, Metazoa, Chordata, Aves, Charadriiformes, Laridae. The record is from RefSeq and is a predicted model, not a curated record.
AGUUUAUUGCUUUUGGUGCUGAUUUUCUAGGCUGGUGUUUAAUCUGUGGGAAAUGUGAAAUGCUGAUUGUACUUUACUUAUAUGGAAAAGGCCCAGCUUGUGAGCAAAUUAUUGUGUUGCUAAAGAUUGGACAAGCUCCUUUGAACUAUUUUCUUUACUAACCUACAGUGAUCCUUUAUUGCAGGCACUUAAAAAUGAAAACCAGCGACUUCACAGUGUUUAGAGACAUUGAAGAAGAAAUAUAGUGCUCUUCAUGCACAUGAGAAUCAGAUUCAAACAGAUACAAUAAACGUUAAUUGUGACUUCUUGUCAGGUUUUCCUUUGUAAGCCUACAAGUUCCCUGACAGCCUUGCAAUUACAGAACGAAAUAUUAAAAAAAAAAAAUCACAGGGUAGAUGUGAUUCUGUGCCCAGGGAUUAUUCUGUAACCUUGAAAGGUUGAACUGACACCGCUUCUGUGAAAGGAAGCAGUGGGUGAGCGCCUAUAUGCUUUUUCACAAGUGACAUCUGAUUUAAGAAGUACCUUACCUGGUAUCCUCACUGUUCUAAAGAGGAUAUUGAAAAUUAAUGCCAUUGCACGCUUCUAAAUUGAUCAAAAUUGAUGUCAUUACAGGCAUAAAGGCAUUGUAAAGCUGGAUGAGCACUCACAAGGCGUAACUUCAAGGGGGUUACAUUAUGCUACAUGCCAUGGCAAAUGGAACCAAGAUUGGGAGCCUGGGUUUCUAAAAAGCAAAGAAAACACGUGGAUUCAUCAUGUUUUUGAUACCUGCAGACAUACCAACAACCAGGACAAAAAUGCAAGUUUCCCUGCAGAACCGGUGCCAGGAUGCACACACAUGCUCACACUCUGCCACAGUCGCUUUGGUCUUCCCUGGAUUAAGUUUUUAACUCAAGCUGCCCGUCUCAGCUGAACUUCAAAAAACCCAGGAGAGCACAUCAUCUGGUUAUGGGGAGCAGGGAUGCAGAACCAACUGAUAUGAGAGCAUCUGUGUAAUUCCAGCUGAUGCUGUUGCGGAGGCUGAAGAUAUCAGACUCGUUUCAUUUUUUUUUUUGUUUUAAAUUUACACUGUAUCCCUCUGGCAUCAGCAGAGAAGCUUGAGCUGGAGAUGAUCGCAUAGACAAGCUUGUCCUUUUUGUUCCAUUGACUUUCUUCUUCAUCUUUUCAAGAAGUUUUACAUGCUCCAAGCUGCUUAAAGACUUUUGACUUUACAGGUUUUUUUCACUGAAAUCCUUGUACCUAUUUCUGAUCGGCUUGAAGAGUCUUAUGCAGACACAGAACUGGAUUGUGAAAGGUCUGUGAAUAAGUAUUUCAGCUGGUUAAUAUUCCCUGUUCUGGACAGCAAAAUAUCUCUGUAUGUUUGUAAAUGCCAACCAUUCUAAGCUCUGGUUCAAUGUUUAAAUUGCCUGUUGCAAAACUUCAUCAACUUUCUCAUAAUUAUUUGUGUACUGGAGCAGCCUCUCUAUACAAAAAACCAAAAGUCAAAGAGCAGAUCAGGUUGAUGGUGUUCUCAGCCAUGUUUGUUUCUGUCAGUAUGCGUUGAGGGACCGGAGAGAGGUGUGUGAAACUCUUCCCUGUUUGUCUGCCCGGCUCUCCCCUUUGGCUGUGCUCGGAGGAUGAACUUUUAUGCAGAAAUGGGAAAAAUCUCAGAGAGAGUGCAUGGCUCUCAAAACAGUAGCUUGCCCUUUAUAGAAGAACUCGUAGUGGGUAAUGGUUUACACAUCUUUAAGGGAAAGAAAAAUUGGUUGACAAUGAAUGUUUUUAUAUGCAAUGGAAUUUCAAGUUACUAAGCAAAAGGAAACACACAUAAUAUAUAGACAGAGGCAUAAAGUGAAUCUUUUCACCUAGGCUUUUGGAAAAUGCUACCCAAGAAAAAAUCAGUUGCAUAAAAACCUGUGUCACACUUAAUUCUGUGAACAGAGUGACUGCGUAAUUAACCACACUAGCUGGGGAUGAGGACACAUUAGAAGAUCAGGUGAGAGAAGCAGAGUUAAAAUAGCACGAAAGUAAGAACCGUGGGGCAGAAACAAUGCUGUGAGGGGAAAAAUUACUGGCUAGAAACUUCCAUCCCUACACGCACAAGAAUAUCUGUUAUAUUUUAAAUUCAAGUCGUAGCAGACUUCAGAAUGUGUGCUACUUUGGAAGAGAGAGAACAUCUCUAAAAACAUGCUGAAACAAGGAACGAGGUGGAGCAUUUCUGAAAUACUGAAAGCCUAUGUAUGUUCUAUACCAUCUCUUUUCGGCCACAAACCUUUAUUCCUAGUUUAGGCAUUUGGCCAUCCUCGAGUCCCUCAGUAGUCAGUGGGAUUCCUGCUUGGCAUCUCCAAAAGUGGUAAAGCAUCCCUGCUUGUUCAUGCAGUCCCUGAGAGCAACAAUGGGCCUUACUGAAAGUUUUAACUCAGAGUACGCUGAAAGAAGUGGGAUAUGGCGCAUAUGCCAAAACGGAUCCUAUUUUUCUAUUCCAUGCCUUCAAAAAAAGCCCCCAAAGAUUCAGAUUUAGCCAAGCCGCUAAGAAAAAAAUGAAAUGAAUGUAUCUGUUCUUACAGUGUGUUUCAAUGACAGCAACAACACAGGAAAACUGUCAAUAAAAGCAAUAAAUUGAGUGAGCAUGAGUUACCAUGUGUCAUCGUACAGGGGUGAAAGUGAGACCAGGUAGGGAAAUGCAGGGUAUCUUUGUUCCUGUCUAGGAGCAGAGACACCAUCUCCAGGUCACACUCAAGCAACUGCCAUCUCCUGCCACCCUCGCUGCUUCCUGGGUUACUCACAGCUCUUCUGCUUUGCACAGGCAGUGAAAUUUUCCCUCAACGGCUGGUGUCAGUUUAAUAAUCUUUCCUGAAAAGCACUCUGCUUGGAACUUCUCUCUGUUUUCCCCUGCUAAUUUCCAAGUGGGAGCAUCACUGCCUGAAAGUUUGGCUGCUUAGGAACUGGGCCGAACUGUGGGGCUGGUUUUAAUUUUUGCGCUCUUGCAAACUCAGUCUCUUUUUGUCUCCCCGUGGCCACAUUUAGCUUCUCCCAGCUUUUUCCCAUUCGCUGGUGCGGUAGACCGGGACCUGCUACUCCAUAACCAGCCACUCCUGCAUCUGCUCCCGCAUCCUCUCUGGGACAGUGGGAAGUGCCAGGUCCAGCGGUGAAAGGUCUGAGAAAUGCUGGAGCAAGGCAGUUAAAAAGAAUGUCCUCUGAGGGGAAAAAGUUUGGUCUCGCCCACCCUCAAAGACUGCUUUAUGUCCUGCAGCCUACACUGGAAGAUAAGCUCCAUUAAAAUCAAAUCACAACUUUAUUUUUAGCACUUAACGCAUUCUCUUUUUUUCCAUGCACCUUUCCAUUCCCUUUUAAUUCGUGAAACUCCUGGCCUCGGUUGCCUCUGGUGGCAAGAAACUGCACCAGGCAGUCGUAUGCUGUGGGAAAGGGUUGCUUUUCACCCUUUGCCUUUUAUUUUCAGCAGAUGCCCUCCUGCUUGUGUAUGAUGGGAAAUGAUGAACAGGACUCACUUUCUUUGGUGCCAUUCGUUAUUUUGAACACCUUUAUCUUUUCCCUUCUCUGAAGUGAGCAGGUUUUAUUUUACUAUUCAUCUAGAAGCUUUUCAUGCCUCUAAUUAUUUUCAUUGUCAUUUCUGAACUCAUUUCAUUUCUGCUUUGUCCUUCUCAAGGUGUCCGGAACCGA